This 299-nucleotide ribosomal RNA is filed under the name uncultured soil bacterium. RNAcentral's name for it is "partial 16S ribosomal RNA". It matches the Rfam family "Bacterial small subunit ribosomal RNA", at positions 26 to 351 of the family's 1533-position model. The record is from RNAcentral.
AGAACGAACGCUGGCGGCAUGCCUAACACAUGCAAGUCGAACGAGACCUUCGGGUCUAGUGGCGCACGGGUGCGUAACGCGUGGGAAUCUGCCCUUGGGUUCGGGAUAACAGUUGGAAACGACUGCUAAUACCGGAUGAUGUCUUCGGACCAAAGAUUUAUCGCCCAAGGAUGAGCCCGCGUAGGAUUAGCUUGUUGGUGAGGUAAGAGCUCACCAAGGCGACGAUCCUUAGCUGGUCUGAGAGGAUGAUCAGCCACACGUGGGACUGAGACACGGCCCAGACUCCGUACGGGAGGCAG